UUGAAGAGGGAAACUGUGAGCUCAUUUAUCAAAAUAUUUAUUUUAUUCAGCUUUGAAUACAUUUAUAAAGGAUCCCGAUCGGGAUAAAUCGACCACAACAAUAGCACUAGACGCCGGCAGCCAGUCACCACCUCUGCACCGCCUUGAAUGCACAAACCAAUUCGGAUUGCGUCUAUCACAUUUCUGGCAUUCAUUUGAAAUACACAACCGCAGAAGAAACAUCAAAGCCUCUACUCUAUUAGAGCUUGCACCAGCUUCGGUUCGAGUUCCAGUUUCCGUGAGUGAUCCGAUUUCUCUGCUUCAAUAAUAUUUGCUCACGUAACUUGAAAAUCCACAUUGUGAUUCUUCUGAAUCACAACAUUUCAUAAGGUUCGGAUCCUUGCUUAUUUUUAUCACUCUGAACUGGCGAGGUGCCAAUCGUAUUUCACUUUUUGUUCAAAAUGUGGGCGCUCCAUAUGCCUUUUAGACUCUAAUAUGCCAUUUUUAGGUAUUUAAAGAAGCAAUUGCAUGACUGAGGGCAAAAAGGUAGCCGGUGCACAAAGUAUUCCACAUUCCCUCGGGGUCCCGAAAGGGCUGCACCGAGGUGUGAUGUAGACAACCUACCUAAUAUAAGCAUUAGUGGCUGCUUCCAUAACCUGAACCAGUGAUCUAUAGGUCACACUGCUUCAAGGCUCCCCUUCAAUUACUUAUUAAGGCAUUUUAAAUUUUUUGCCAAUACGUGUAUGUGAAACGGAAUCAUUUUUUUAUGUUUUUUGAACGAUAUGCAGCAGAGGCUAUUGGACAUUCCAAUGUUUUCUGCUCCUUGCGUAAGUGCGUUUGAUUUUCUAUAUCUGGACAGGAAUAGCUAUGUGGCGAUUGUUAUGAUACAUGAUGAUGAUUUUGCUCAUGCGUGCUGAAGCUGGGUGUAUGUACACCAUUAGAUAUUGUAUUUG
Molecule: long non-coding RNA, 932 nt
Filed under: Nicotiana benthamiana
Lineage: Eukaryota; Viridiplantae; Streptophyta; Magnoliopsida; Solanales; Solanaceae
Description: long non-coding RNA (NBEN_LNC036189)
Source: RNAcentral